ACGUGGACCUUAUUUCCCUCAGGUUGGCUGGAAUCCAUUUGAUUGGUUUUCACUCAAGCAGAAGAACCAAUUUUGCCAAAGCUUGUUCCAGAAAGCAUGGCCUCUCUUUUCCCGGCAAAGGGGAAUAGUUACCGGAGGACUGAGUCAAUGUAGCGAGAUCUGAGUUACUACUCACCGGAAGGCCAACAAAUCUUUAUCUUCCUUCAGCCCUUCACUCUCUUUAUCUCUGCAAACGAUUUGCAAGGGAAAGCCAAACACAAAGAUAGAGGGUUUUGUAUAUUUGCAGAGCUCCUUGAUCAGUUGAUUUCUUAAUUUCUUCUCGGCCAUUCUCUCUUUUUAUGCUAUAUCUGAGUAUCGUAUCAAGAGCUGUACAUAGUUUCUUAUUCUCCACGAAGGAUAAUUGAAGCUGUGGAGUGAGAUAGAAGCAACGACCGAGGAGCAAAACUGGAAAUAAUGGUGUAAUUAACUCCCACAGCCCGUUAAGAAUCGAGCCUGGGAACUAGCACAUGAGCUAACGGAAAAUCAAGAGAAUGACGUGGCAACGUCGUCUUGAUGUUUGGUACUUUUUGGAGGGUUAAAAAUUCGAUGAUGGGGUCUCCUGCUUUAACGGCAAAAGUACGAUGUUAGGGCUUUGGCGUUAACAUCGAGAAAGUGGUUUUGGUUCUCUCUUAUCCAUUCAAUCGCAAAAUUUCACGACGUGAAGGAACCGUCACUGACGUCGUUACUAGUCCCCGUUUCUAGAGUAGCAAUCUAGUGCGGGCACGCUCUUCAAUUGGUAGUUGGUUGGUGGAUGCGGUGGAUUGCGAUCGUCAUCAACAAGCGGCGGUAUGACGUGGUACGUAUAUGAUUAAAUAAUAUGCAAUAUCAUUGAUUAUUUAAAAACAAAAGGUUUAUUUUGGCACAGAAAAGGGAGCCUUUAAAGCAAAAAGUAAUUUACUUCCAUCACAAUGUUUUUAAAACAUAAUUACAGUCAUUCUAAUAGACAAAGAUUUAAGUUAAAUAUAUUC
Molecule: long non-coding RNA, 1007 nt
Organism: Cucurbita maxima (winter squash)
Lineage: Eukaryota; Viridiplantae; Streptophyta; Magnoliopsida; Cucurbitales; Cucurbitaceae
Exons: 3
Source: RefSeq, a predicted model, not a curated record